UACGAAGGGGGCUAGCGUUGUUCGGAAUUACUGGGCGUAAAGCGCACGUAGGCGGCACUGUUAGUUAGGGGUGAAAUCCCGGAGCUCAACCCCGGAACUGCCUUCAAGACUGCAGAGCUGGAGGAUGCGAGAGGUGAGUGGAAUUCCGAGUGUAGAGGUGAAAUUCGUAGAUAUUCGGAAGAACACCAGUGGCGAAGGCGGCUCACUGGCGCAUUUCUGACGCUGAGGUGCGAAAGCGUGGGGAGCAAACAGG
This 253-nucleotide ribosomal RNA is filed under the name uncultured bacterium. RNAcentral's name for it is "partial 16S ribosomal RNA". It matches the Rfam family "Bacterial small subunit ribosomal RNA", at positions 524 to 776 of the family's 1533-position model. The record is from RNAcentral.